This 464-nucleotide long non-coding RNA is filed under the name Crocodylus porosus (Australian saltwater crocodile). RNAcentral's name for it is "lncRNA (ENSCPRG00005005646.1)". Lineage: Eukaryota; Metazoa; Chordata; Crocodylia; Crocodylidae. The record is from RNAcentral.
GAAAAUAUUUCAUGAUUCCCAUCGCACCACCCCUCUAGCACCAAAAUAAGAUUUCCCAUGCCAAGCUCACCAGCACUUUUUUUGUUUCUGUACAUUUGCUGCAGGAUGAACCAAUUCCUUCUGAAUGUGCCCUUCAAGGAACAAGGGAAAGAUAUGGUCUCCCGAGCAUCAAAUGGGACAGAGGAAGAGGCAAUGUUCAGUCAUUGCACAGCUUAAUGAAUGGAGAGCUGAAACCACGAAGCAGCUAUAGCCAGCUAACAUAUGUCUUGGGUGUAUUCACAGCAGGGCCCACAGCAGAGAUUUACACAGACAUAAAUGGAGCCUAGAUGAAAAAAAAAAAGUAAUUGAAUUUCUUUUGUCCUCAUUAUGUUUCUGCUUCAUUCAUCACCUCUUCACAGACUAUGGCCUGCCUCUAUUUUGCUUGCUCCCUUUGUGCCAGAGGAAAAGGCCAGAGUGGUAGAAAG